AAUUCUCAAUGUGGCUGUCCUUUUCUUUUUAUUUUGCAGAAUGUAAAACAUUUAUAGUUUGAUUGUGGGUAAUUGCAAAGUUGUACUGUACAUUAAUUUGCAAAAUGCAAACAUAUUGUUCAGGAAGAGUACAUGGUUUGUCAAAGGGCACAUGUGGCAUAACGGAUUUGGCUAUGCUGCACAUAGUUUUUGCUAAUAGGUUCCUGAUGCAGGUCUGGCUUGGACACAAGUAUUUUUUUUCAAAUAGGUUCCUGAAUAU
This 259-nucleotide long non-coding RNA is filed under the name Hordeum vulgare. RNAcentral describes it as "long non-coding RNA (HVUL_LNC019458)". Lineage: Eukaryota; Viridiplantae; Streptophyta; Magnoliopsida; Poales; Poaceae. The record is from RNAcentral.